This 470-nucleotide ribosomal RNA is filed under the name uncultured bacterium. Its description in RNAcentral is "bacterial SSU rRNA". It matches the Rfam family "Bacterial small subunit ribosomal RNA", at positions 29 to 492 of the family's 1533-position model. The record is from RNAcentral.
AACGAACGCUGGCGGCGCGCCUAAUACAUGCAAGUCGAACGAGAAGCUGUAGCAAUACAGUUGUACAGUGGCGAACGGGUGAGGAAUACAUGGGUGACCUACCCUCGAGUGGGGAAUAACCAGCCGAAAGGUUGGCUAAUACCGCGUACGCUUCCCAGUCUACGGGUUGGGAAGGAAAGCGAUGCCGUGGGUAUCGCGCUCAAGGUUGGGCUCAUGUCCUAUCAGCUUGNGGUGGGGUAACGGCUCACCAAGGCAACGACGGGUAGCUGGUCUGAGAGGACGAUCAGCCACACUGGCACUGCGACACGGGCCAGACUCCUACGGGAGGCAGCAGUAAGGAAUAUUGCGCAAUGGGCGAAAGCCUGACGCAGCGACGCCGCGGUGGGGGAUGAAGGUCUUCGGAUUGUAAACCCCUUUCGGGAGGGAAGAUGGAACGAGCAAUCGUUCGGACGGUACCUCCAGAAGCAGCC